UACGUAGGGUGCGAGCGUUAAUCGGAAUUACUGGGCGUAAAGCGUGCGCAGGCGGUUUUAUAAGCCAGAUGUGAAAGCCCCGGGCUCAACCUGGGAAUGGCAUUUGGGACUGUAAGGCUGGAGUAUGGCAGAGGGGACUAGAAUUCCUGGUGUAGCAGUGAAAUGCGUAGAUAUCAGGAGGAACACCAGUGGCGAAGGCGGCAUCCUGGACCGGCAUUGACGCUGAGGCGCGAAAGCUAGGGUAGCAAACGGG
Molecule: ribosomal RNA, 253 nt
Filed under: uncultured bacterium
Lineage: Bacteria
Description: partial 16S ribosomal RNA
Rfam family: Bacterial small subunit ribosomal RNA
Source: RNAcentral